Molecule: ribosomal RNA, 811 nt
Filed under: Lentilactobacillus buchneri
Lineage: Bacteria; Bacillati; Bacillota; Bacilli; Lactobacillales; Lactobacillaceae
Description: bacterial SSU rRNA
Rfam family: Bacterial small subunit ribosomal RNA
Source: RNAcentral
CUGGCUCAGGACGAACGCUGGCGGCGUGCCUAAUACAUGCAAGUCGAACGCGUCUCCGUUGAUGAUUUYAGGUGCUUGCACUUGAAAGAUUUAACAUUGAGACGAGUGGCGAACUGGUGAGUAACACGUGGGUAACCUGCCCUUGAAGUAGGGGAUAACACUUGGAAACAGGUGCUAAUACCGUAUAACAACCAAAACCACCUGGUUUUGGUUUAAAAGACGGCUUCGGCUGUCACUUUAGGAUGGACCCGCGGCGUAUUAGCUUGUUGGUAAGGUAACGGCCUACCAAGGCGAUGAUACGUAGCCGACCUGAGAGGGUAAUCGGCCACAUUGGGACUGAGACACGGCCCAAACUCCUACGGGAGGCAGCAGUAGGGAAUCUUCCACAAUGGACGAAAGUCUGAUGGAGCAACGCCGCGUGAGUGAUGAAGGGUUUCGGCUCGUAAAACUCUGUUGUUGGAGAAGAACAGGUGUCAGAGUAACUGUUGACAUCUUGACGGUAUCCAACCAGAAAGCCACGGCUAACUACGUGCCAGCAGCCGCGGUAAUACGUAGGUGGCAAGCGUUGUCCGGAUUUAUUGGGCGUAAAGCGAGCGCAGGCGGUUUUUUAGGUCUGAUGUGAAAGCCUUCGGCUUAACCGGAGAAGUGCAUCGGAAACCGGGAGACUUGAGUGCAGAAGAGGACAGUGGAACUCCAUGUGUAGCGGUGAAAUGCGUAGAUAUAUGGAAGAACACCAGUGGCGAAGGCGGCUGUCUGGUCUGUAACUGACGCUGAGGCUCGAAAGCAUGGGUAGCGAACAGGAUUAGAUACC